Molecule: long non-coding RNA, 578 nt
Organism: Gracilinanus agilis (Agile Gracile Mouse Opossum)
Lineage: Eukaryota; Metazoa; Chordata; Mammalia; Didelphimorphia; Didelphidae
Exons: 3
Source: RefSeq, a predicted model, not a curated record
GUACACUGCCUCUGAGGAGAGCUCCACCUGGCUGGCAAGGGUGGGGGGCCAGCCCUAUCUUAGGGGCUCCCGGGGCCACCACUGACCUGGCUGGAUGCAUCGGGCAGUGGACCCUCCGGGGGCCCGAGCUGCACGGGAACCCUUCACCCUUGGGGGCCUGAGCUGUGCUGGAACCUGGAGUUCUUGUCCUCCCCACCCCCCUCCCCGGGCAUGGCUGCCAGGGGGCAGGUGUUCUGCCAGCAUUGGGCAGCCCCAACUCCCAGCUCACCUGCCCCCAGCCCAUGGCAGUGGUAUUGGGUAUCCCAGCAAGCCCUACUACCCCCCUGGGUAAGUGUAGAAGGGAAUAAGUUUUGGUGAAUAGAAACUGUUCUUUGGAAGAAGGUAGAGGGUUGGAAUAUGAGCUACUAUAUCAGUUCCUAAAAAAGAGGGGUGGAGGUGGGAAGUGUUAGGGAAAGAAAAUUAAUGCUUAUUGAAAAAUAAUUUGAGGGGUAGAGAGGAAGGGGAGCUAGAAUGGGAGAGAUGAGAACUACCAACAUUUGGACUCUUGAAGGGAGUGGAAGUUGAUGGAUAGGCAUAAA